UUGUGUUUGAACUAAAGCUUGGUGUAAGAAUGAUAAAGAGUGAUUUGAUAAAGUUCUUGAUGACCACAAUUUGACUUAAAAGAUAUUUGAACUAAUACUUUGGCUUGUUAAAGUGAUUGAUUGAUUAAUGUCUUAUGGAGAUCUUGUGGCCAUGUAUGAUGAAUUGUGGCCUUGAUGUCAUUGAAUGGUUAAAUAGGUUACAGUCCCCAAAUGUGAAUGGUGUAAUAUGAAU
RNAcentral lists this long non-coding RNA (232 nucleotides) under Capsicum annuum. RNAcentral's name for it is "long non-coding RNA (CANN_LNC012700)". Lineage: Eukaryota; Viridiplantae; Streptophyta; Magnoliopsida; Solanales; Solanaceae. The record is from RNAcentral.